AGGGCCUGUUUGGGAUUGAGGUGAUUAAAAAAAAAGCUACUAUGAAAAAAAGCUAUGAAAAUUUUUGGUGUUUGGUAAACUUUGAAAAGCAGCUUUGUUUCAAAGUUGAGGGUGAAAAAAAGCCCAAAACCAGGAGAUGACAAGAAGCUGCAAUUUGCAGCUUCCAAAAGCAGCUUAUUUUCACCCACACACGGGUGAACAAUGUACACGUUUAAUGAAAUAUGAAUAACCCAAAACUGCCCUCCCUUUCCCUUCACCUACGCUCUCACCUUUCCAGAGCUCUCUCGCACGCUCUUCACCUCAGAGCUCUCUCGCAUAACCUGAACCAGAGCGAUCUUUCUCGUUCUCUCAUUCUCUCGUUCUCUCGUUCCAAAAACUAGCGAACUCGUUCUCUCGUUCCAAAAACUAGCGAACUCGUUCUCUCGUUCUCCAGGUUUCUCCAGGACAUCUUACAUCCAGGAGUGAUGUAUAUAGUUUUGGCGUGGUUUUACUCGAGAUGCUGACCGGCAGAAGAUCCAUGGACAAAAACCGACCCAAUGGCGAACAUAACCUUGCGGAAUGGGCACGGCCACAUCUAGGAGAAAGAAGAAGAUUCUACCAGUUGAUAGACCCUCGGCUUGAAGGCCACUUUUCGAUAAAAGGUGUCCAAAAAGCCGCACAACUAGCUGCCCACUGCCUUAGUCGAGAUCCAAAAGCCAGGCCCCUAAUGAGUGAAGUUGUGGAAGUCUUAAAGCCCCUACCAGCCCUCAAGGAUAUGGCAAGCUCAUCAUAUUAUUUCCAGACAAUGCAAGGUGACCGUGUCGGUUCCAGCCCAAAUACCAGAAACAACGUCAGACCGCAAGGAGGAUUGCUGAUGAGGAACGGGCAUCAUCAGCAGAGGAGCCUUUCGAUACCAAAUGGUACCCAUGCUUCUCCAUAUCACCAUCAACAUCCCCAUCCAUCGCCAAAACCUAAUGUAAAACCGUAAGAUAGGGUUGGCAGCUCUUUGUAUCAUUUCCCACCUCCUGUGAGCAAUCAUUUUCUUCUUUUCCCCCCUUUUUCCGCUUCCUCGAUCCGUAUAAAUGUAAUUUUCGGUUAAAGCAUUUGUUCUUGAACCAACUGGAAAAUCAGCAGAGAUUCAUGUUUGCUUUUGAUGUUAUGUUUAGAAUGUAAGGGCAGGCCAAGCUUCUUUGAGCAAAAAUUUGUUAUGCAAUAUCUUGUGAGAAAGACCAUAAUUGUUGCCUCCCCUUAA
RNA transcript from Pyrus x bretschneideri (Chinese white pear), 1231 nucleotides. It is a transcript of the gene named serine/threonine-protein kinase PBL34-like, with no coding region annotated. The transcript is spliced from 2 exons. NCBI's taxonomy places the organism in Eukaryota, Viridiplantae, Streptophyta, Magnoliopsida, Rosales, Rosaceae. The record is from RefSeq and is a predicted model, not a curated record.